AGUAAAUAGAUACCCCGGUAGUCCACGCCGUAAACGAUGUCGACUUGGAGGUUGUGCCCUUGAGGCGUGGCUUCCGGAGCUAAACGCGUUAAAGUCGACCGCCUGGGGAGUACGGCCGCAAGGUUAAAACUCAAAUGAAUUGACGGGGGCCCGCACAAGCGGUGGAGCAUGUGGUUUAAUUCGAUGCAACGCGAAGAACCUUACCUACUCUUGACAUCCAGAGAACUUAGCAGAGAUGCUUUGGUGCCUUCGGGAACUCUGAGACAGGUGCUGCAUGGCUGUCGUCAGCUCGUGUUGUGAAAUGUUGGGUUAAGUCCCGCAACGAGCGCAACCCUUAUCCUUUGUUGCCAGCGGUUAGGCCGGGAACUCAAAGGAGACUGCCAGUGAUAAACUGGAGGAAGGUGGGGAUGACGUCAAGUCAUCAUGGCCCUUACGAGUAGGGCUACACACGUGCUACAAUGGCGCAUACAAAGAGAAGCGACCUCGCAGAGCAAGCGGACCUCAUAAAGUGCGUCGUAGUCCGGAUUGGAGU
This 532-nucleotide ribosomal RNA is filed under the name uncultured bacterium. RNAcentral's name for it is "bacterial SSU rRNA". It matches the Rfam family "Bacterial small subunit ribosomal RNA", at positions 774 to 1304 of the family's 1533-position model. The record is from RNAcentral.